CCUGGGGAGUACGGCCGCAAGGUUAAAACUCAAAUGAAUUGACGGGGGCCCGCACAAGCGGUGGAGCAUGUGGUUUAAUUCGAUGCAACGCGAAGAACCUUACCUGGUCUUGACAUCCACAGAACUUUCCAGAGAUGGAUUGGUGCCUUCGGGAACUGUGAGACAGGUGCUGCAUGGCUGUCGUCAGCUCGUGUUGUGAAAUGUUGGGUUAAGUCCCGCAACGAGCGCAACCCUUAUCCUUUGUUGCCAGCGGU
Molecule: ribosomal RNA, 254 nt
Filed under: Enterobacter cloacae
Lineage: Bacteria; Pseudomonadati; Pseudomonadota; Gammaproteobacteria; Enterobacterales; Enterobacteriaceae
Also listed under: 4 other names
Description: partial 16S ribosomal RNA
Rfam family: Bacterial small subunit ribosomal RNA
Source: RNAcentral